This 3675-nucleotide ribosomal RNA is filed under the name Parcubacteria group bacterium GW2011_GWF2_50_9. Its description in RNAcentral is "23S ribosomal RNA". It matches the Rfam family "Bacterial large subunit ribosomal RNA". The record is from RNAcentral.
UGGUGGAUGCCUUGGCUUAAGGAGGCGAUGAAGGACGCGAGCUAGCGGCGAUACGCUCCGGGGAGGUGCUAAGCAACUUUUGAUCCGGAGGUCUCCGAAUGGGGAAACCUGUUUCGGUAAAACCGAUUCGUCCAGCCGUAAUUUCAGUUCUUUUAGUUAGUUAUUUUGUAGGAAAAGCGAAUCUGACAAGUCCGUCCGUCUUAACUGGUGAUCCCAGCGAUUGGUGUAAGCCGAUUGUGAUGCCGGCAGUGCGCAAGGGAAGUUCGUAACCGGCAGGUAGUCGUGAGUGCACUCAAAAUCAAAGCCUGCUUCUCCUACAAACACUCCCAAACUAACGGUUUGGGAACUGAAAUUACGGCUGGAAGCGUACCCUGGGAAGUAAAACAUUUCAGUACCAGGAGGAGUAGAAACCAAUAAGUAUUCCGUCAGUAGCGGCGAGCGAACGCGGAGAAGCCCAAACCGAUGCGUAGCAUCGGAAAUUCCAAAUCACAAUUUCCAAAUCACAAACAAAUCUCAAAUCUAAAACUCAAACGACUUUCUGAAGUCGUUCCCGCGCAGGCGGAAAUCCAGUUUAAUCUGGUUCCCCGUUUACACGGGGAUGACAUUAAGAAAUGUCAUUUCGGGCUUUGGAUAUUGGGUAUUGUUUGGAAUUUGGUGCUUGGGUAUUGGAGAUUCCGCUGCUGCGCAGCGGUGUUGUAAGGCAGAAGCGUCGUAUUUAUACGAGGAAAGUUACAAAAUUGUUUGUUAAUGGAAGUUGCUGGAAAGCGACACCCCAGAGGGUGAUAGUCCCGUACAUGAAAACAAACAAUCUUUCUUGCUUCUGUUCUUGAGUACCUCAAGACACGAAUAGCUUGGGGGAAUCCGCCGGAACUAACCGGCAAGGCUAAAUACUUCUUAAGACCGAUAGUGAACUAGUACCGUGAGGGAAAGGUGAAAAGCAGCCCGGUGAGGGCGGUGAAAUAGACCUGAAACCAUAUGCUUACAAGGAGUGCGACCGUUAACUAUUGACUAUUAACUUUUGACUUUAUUGUUAAGAGUUAGCGGUUAAAGGUUAAUAGUUGCGGUGCGGAGCGCCGUCACCGCGUGCCUAUUGAAGAAUGAGCCAACGAGUUGAUGUAUUCGGCUUGCCUAAGUGCGAGAGCGCGGAGGCGAAGCGAAAGCGAGUGUUAAUAGCGCGACAAUAUGUCGAAUCCAUCAGACCCGAAGCCAGGUGAGCUUACCAUGAGCAGGAUGAAUCCGCCAGAAAUGGCGGAGGAGGUCCGAACGCUAGAGCUGUGCAAUACUCUGCGAUGACUUGUGGUAAGGAGUGAUAAGCUAAUCGAACCUGGUAAUAGCUGGUUCUCUCCGAAAUAGCUUUAGGGCUAGCGUCGUGCGUUCCUUUUGGGGGUAGAGCUCUGGAUGGUCUAAAUAGGUCGAAAGACCGUUAGACCAAUCAAACUUCGAAUACCAAAAGCGCCCGCAUCACAGGGAAUGUGAUGCGGAGAAGUAGGAUUUACGAUUUACGAUUUAUGAAUAAGACAGUCUUAUUUCUUAAAUCCUACUUCUUAAAUCAUACAUCUCCGCAUCGCGUUUCGCGCGAUGCGGGUAGAAUGCGGCAGUUAGACCGUGGGGGCUAAGCUCCAAAGGUCAAAAAGGGAAGAGCCUAUGAUCUCCAGUUAAGGUCCCAAAAUCUGCGCUCAGUACAUCACAAGGAAGUGGAAUUUCUCUGACAAUGAGGAUGUAGGCUUAGAAGCAGCCAUCAUUGAAAGAAAGCGUAACAGCUCACUCAUCGAGAAAUUCUGCACCGAAGAUAAUCGGGGUUAAGCGCAGUACCGAAACUGAGGGUGCCUCGUGUAGAACACAAGGAAAUUCCAAAUUACAAUUCCCAAAUCACAAACAAACGACUUAUCUUAAGUCGUUCCCGCGAAAGCGGGAAUCCAGAUUUCUUGGUUCCCCGCCUCCGCGGGGAUGACAUUAAGAAAUGUCAAUUGUUUGGAAUUUGGUGCUUGGUUAUUGGGAUUUUCUCGCGUUCUACGCGAGGUGCGGUAGGAGAGUAUUCGCAUCUGCAGUGAAGCCAAAGGGGUGACCCAUGGUGGAGCGUUGCGAAGUAAGAAUGUUGGCACAAGUAACCACAAUGCGGGUGAGAAACCCGCACGCCGAAAGACUAAGGUUUCCUCCUCGAUGAUUGUCAGAGGAGGGUUAGUCGGGCCUAAGGGGAUGGCGAAAGCCGCACCUGAUGGACACACGGUUAAUAUUCCGUGACUUUGGCGCGUUUCGACGGAGUGACGAAGUCUAGUAUGCCGUGCGCAUUAUUGGAUUUGACGUUCUUGGCUCGGAGACGACUUCCAGGCAAAUCCGGGAGUCUGCCUUUAAUGGCGAGUCGAAGGAGCAGAGAAGACCCGCCUAACUUUGUUUCGGAAAUUGAGAGUGUUGUUGGUUGAGAAUUUUUUUGGAGAUUCUUAACUAGCACACAUUUCUAUUGUUCGGAGACAAAGUUGGGCGGGGAUAUGGCAAAUCGGACUUCCAAGAAAAACUUCUAAGAUUAAACGCGACAAAACCGUACCGUAAACCGACACAGGUAGUCAGCUCGAGUAGAGCAAGGCGAACGAAUGAGAGGUCUCCAAGGAACUCGGCAAAAAAGCGGCCGUAACUUCGGAAUAAGGCCUGCCUUGUGCGAAGCACAAGGAAAUUCUAAUUUCUAAUUUCUAAUUUCUAAACAAAUUCCAAAUUCUAAAAUUCAAAUCUCAAACGCGGUUGUUUGGGGCUUGUGAUUUCUGAUUUGUGUUUUGUUUAGGGUUUAGAGUUUAGUUUUUAGGAUUUCCUCGCGCUUCGCGCGAGGCCACAGCUAAAGUCUGCCUGGCGACUGUUUAUCAAAAACACAGCUCCCUGCGAACUCGUAAGAGAAUGUAUAGGGGGUGACACUUGACCAAUGCCAGAAGGUCAAAUAACGGCGGUGCUAUGGUCGCAAGAUUGUAGUGCUGACUGUUAUAAGCCCUGGUGAAUGUCGGCGAUAACUAUAAUCGUCCUAAGGUCGGGUAAGUUCCGACGCGUUGAAUAGUGUAACGUCUGGGCAACUGUCUCGGAGACUCGUUCGGUGAAAAUACAAUACCGGUGAAGAUGCCGGUUACCUGCAGCUAGACGAAAAGACCCCGGAAGCUUUACUGCAACUUGGUAUUGCUUGUAUGUUUUAACUGCGUAGCGUAGGCGGGAGACUUUGAAGUCCUGAUCUCGGUCGGGAUGGAGUCGCCGAUGAAACACCGCUCUGUUGAAAUGUACCGGCUAACCUCGCCGGCAAAAACGGCGAGAGACAGUACCUGGCGGGCAGUUUUAGUGGGGCGCUACCCUUCUAAAGAGUAACGAAGGGGUCCAUCAAGGUCAGCUAGGCGCGAAUGGAAACCGUGCCGAUAGUGCAAUGGCAUAAGCUGGCCUCACUGUAAGGCGUAAGUGCCGAACAGACGCGAAAGCGGGGCAUAGUGAACCGACCGUGUUGGCUGUUCGCCAAUUAAAGUGUUACGUGAGCUGGGUUCAGACCGUCGAGUAAAACAGGUUGGUCUCCUAUCUGCUGCAGGCGUUGAUUCUUGAAGGGAUUCGUUCUUAGUACGAGAGGACCAGAACGAACGGACCUCUGGUGUACCUGCUGUCCUGCCAAGGGCACAUCUAAGCGGGAAACCGCCCCUAAGAUGAGGAAUCGAGCGU